Molecule: long non-coding RNA, 3743 nt
Organism: Benincasa hispida (wax gourd)
Lineage: Eukaryota; Viridiplantae; Streptophyta; Magnoliopsida; Cucurbitales; Cucurbitaceae
Source: RefSeq, a predicted model, not a curated record
GCUACGCCACUUCUAAAACUGUGGUACUUGAUAAGCCCCUUAUUAUUGUGAACUCGUUCAGAACCUAAAUAACCAGCCAAAAAAAAAAAAAAAAAAAAACCCGAAGAACAAAUUAAGAUUUGUGUUUGAUUUAAUUAAAAUUUCUGCUAGGACGGGAGACUUGGAAAGGAACUUCCUGCCCGCCGCAUCGCCGUCGCGGCUUCCCUUUUCCAAGAGUUGAUUUCAUUUGCUGCUCAACGAAUGUAAGCGACAAACUAUCAGUUUGAAUUAUGCUUUUAAUUUUUCAUCUUCAUCGUGUUAUGGUGUCCGUGCUUCUGUCUGGACUGUGUUCAGACUGAGGCCGAUUUGCUUUAUUCCAUGACGAUUACGGAUUCAAAUGUUUUGGAUUUCUUUUUCUUCCCUCAUAUUGAAGCUUUUGUAAUUCUGAAAACGCCGAACAGUAGAAUCAUUUGUUACGAAUUGGACGAUUGUUGAGAGCUUAAUUCCACGCCAUUUUCGCCCUUGUCAGCAUUAGUUCCAUGGCGCCGCUUGGCGCUUGGGCUUCAUUUCUAUAAUCAUUCGGCUUCUUGGAACCUGAAAACGUUUUAUAGCGGCAAAACGGACUUAAUCAAGCUAUUAGAGUUACUUUUCUUGUAAUUUUCUCUUACUUUUAGUUAUCACAUUAUUUUACUGAACUCUUGUACAAGCUCUACAAAACUGAGCUCUCUGAGGGAAUAGAUUCAUUCAAGAUCUUCUUCUCUCAAUUGCUUGUAACACAAGCAAAUGCACAAAUCACAAUUGGACUAAAGAAUUUCAAAACCCCCCACUAGACUCUCCUCUCUUCCUCAUCUCCUAAAUAUUUUUCACUUCCAUCGGCUACCCCUGAGCAACAUUUUCUGACUAACUUUGAUUUUCUUGUCAUUGGCGUUUCUUUGUAUUCGAUUCAAGAUAACAUUGAAUAGGCAUUGAUCUUGUCUUCAAUUUCUUGCUUGAACGCUAUCUUCUUCUAACUUGUUUUCCUUUAUUUCCUGGCAAGGAGCUUAUUUCUAGUCUUCAUUUUUUUCCCUUGUCGUAUUAUUAGUUCUCCUGUGUUGGUUCUUAUUGUUUCUUGGUCUUGCUAGUAUUUGACGAAUAAUAUAUGAAGAUUUAACUCUAUUGUUUGGAAUUUGGAUGCUACUUUCUCAUGCUUGUCAGGCAGAUGUGUUUAGUACACUGUUGUCCCCUGAAUUUCUAGUUUGGGCAUUAUAUUGCUGAUUAACUGCCUUUGAUAAAUCUAAGUUGUCUUUAUUGUGCAUAAAGCUAAAAACAUGGUAUUUGAUGUCAAAAGGCCUGCUAAAAAUAGAGGCAAGACACUAUAUUACGCAUUGCAUAGUGCAAGUUUGUUUCUGGUUAAGCCGUAUAGGCUGGUUUGAUUGUUUAUUAUAUUUAUAUUCUCAGCAGGUUUCAGUGGUGCUGGAGAAAACAUUUACUCCACGGUGAUUUUACCAAUAUAAUUAUUUUAAUUCUUUUUUUAAACUCUUUUUUGGACAUCUUUUUUAUUAUCAUCAUUAUUGUUUUUUUUUAACUUACAGCAAAGUAUGUGCAAUUCUAUGGUCAAUUCUUUUUGGUUUUCUUCCCUUUUGCUUAUGCAGUAUGAUUGAUUUAUUUUGUUACGGGAAAAACUUGAGCAACAUGUUUUGUAACAUAUCUUGUACUAUGUCAAGCAACAAGUUCCAUGUCGUGCAGAUUUUGCCUGGAGAUUUUUUCCUUAUUUGUUGAUACGUGUAGUGCAAAUUUUGCCGACUUGCUUUCCUAUUUUUACAAAGAAUAUUUUUUCCUUCCUUGAAGAUUUUUCCAAGGCCGAGCCAUAUAUAUUGUGGGAUCUUGUUUAUUUUUAGGGUCAGCCCUUUUGAAAAUAAUGAGUGUGUAGUUAGGGUUUUGUGGGAUUAUCAAACUUAAUCCUUAUGCACUGUUCAUGAACUUUGUGUAUCUCACUUUUGAGGGCAUUGUCAGUCAUAUUUUACACUAGUUUGGUUGAGUAUAGAAAACCACUUAGGGAGUAGGUGAGAACACGGGGUGAGUUGUUGAUAUUGUAAUGAAGGGAUCAUCAUUCAAAGCUUGAAAUAAGCUUGCGUGUUGUAAUAAGGGGAUCUCAUUCAAAGCUUGAGAGAAGCUUAUUUGUGAAAGUGAGAGAAGCUCAAACUUAGGGAGAGCCUUAAUCAAAAUUGAAAAGUCGGCUUUACAUGAGGCGCUGAAGAGGGAGUCUGUCAGAUAAGUAUUUCGUUGUAAUCGCUCAACUCAAAUAUAGUGAAUUUUCUUUUCAUCGGGCAUACAACCCCCAGAGUAGGUGACAUUACACCGAAUUGUGUUACCAACCUCUGUUUUUCUCUAUCCUUGCUCUUAGUGUCUUAUAUUAAUUUAUUCCACUUAUCAAUUAUCUUGUUACUACAUCUUUCUUGAGUUGUGUGUAUUAUGUGUUAGAUUCGCUUAAAAAUUUCACCUUAUACCAAAAAGAAGGCUCGUUAAAUCUUGUUUCAUUUAUAGAACUUCUAUUACCACCCGUUUCUCUGAAUUAAUGUUAUAGUCUGCAUUAUGCACAAUAUGAAGAUAGAACCAUCUGUUCGACAUUUUAGUCUGUCAAUGAUCUACAUUACCUUUUGGUGUUUUUCAUUUAGAUAAAUAUUCUUCAGUCACGAGCUUUGAGGAACUAGAUCAAAGAUAGCUCUGAAGUCUAUUAAUUUCUUCGGAUUUCGAUUAAUUUUGGUGUCUUCAGCAUGUGCCACUCAUGUAUAAUAUCUGGUCUUGUAUGUGUUAGAAAGACAAGUUCCUUGGUUGAUGGUAAGUAUGGCAGAUGAUGGUCUUUUAUCUUCAGCCUAUUGAUUAAUCAAAAAAUGACAAGUUAAUUAUCAGAUCCGUCUUACAUUACCAUUAGUGGAUCAGGAUCUUUUCUGGUGUGCUGUUUAAAGUCCACUGUUUUACAUCAGUUGCCACAUUGUUAAAAUGAAUGUUUGGUAAUGGAUCCUAGAUUAUUUUGAAAAUCUUGUUUAAAAUGUUGGUUUUGUACUUCAUACUGUUUUGGCUUACUUGCAGUUGCAGUUGGCACGAUAACAUCUACAAGAUUGCUCCUUUUUUUGUAUUAAAUUUUGUAAGAAGAAAUUAAUUCCAGGAUAAUUAUUUUUCAGGAGAAAGUAUGGGGGCAUAUUGAAUUCUUAUGUACAUUGCUUCCGAUUAUUGUAACCUUUUGAUUCUGUUAAUUAAUAUUAUACUUUGGUGAUAUACUUUACAUAAAUUAUUUAUAAAACUAAGUUGGUUGUCCCAUGCCAUUUCAUCUUGUUGUUGUCGUUGUCCUCUUUUUAUAUAUAUAUAUAUAUAUAUGUAUGUAUGUAUAUUUUUUUGUUUUUGAUAUCUGCCUUCUUCUGUAGCAUGGCUGCAGAAACAUGAGGCUGAUGUGGCUGCUACCCUCAAUAUAUUAAUUUCUCACGUUUAUGAUAUAUCUAUAUCUAGUGAUAUAAAAGUCGCAGCCUUCUCAUAAACAAGAAAAUCUGAUUUCGAUUGGCUUUGGACUAUUCAUUUCUUAGAACAAUAUGGAUUCAUGUUGCCUGACUUUUAUACUUCACAGUCUUGUAAUUUGAUGUUACCUAUCAGAGAGAUGAUUAAACUCGCCAUAACUCAUGAUGUUUUAUCUUGUCUUUUAAUUUUUAAGAGUGCAGCUGAGUCUUUCAUGGUAGAUGGGUAGUGAUGCCAAUCUGCAACUUAAACAAGAAUGUGCAAGGACAAAGUUGACG